RNAcentral lists this ribosomal RNA (266 nucleotides) under uncultured bacterium. RNAcentral describes it as "partial 16S ribosomal RNA". It matches the Rfam family "Bacterial small subunit ribosomal RNA", at positions 793 to 1055 of the family's 1533-position model. The record is from RNAcentral.
GUCCACGCCCUAAACGAUGCGAACUAGGUGUUGGGGAAGGAGACUUCCUUAGUACCGCAGCUAACGCGUGAAGUUCGCCGCCUGGGGAGUACGGUCGCAAGAUUAAAACUCAAAGGAAUUGACGGGGACCCGCACAAGCGGUGGAUGAUGUGGAUUAAUUCGAUGCAACGCGAAAAACCUUACCUACCCUUGACAUGUACCGAAGUCUGCCGAGAGGUGGAUGUGCCCGAAAGGGAGCGGUAACACAGGUGCUGCAUGGCUGUCGU